RNAcentral lists this transfer RNA (76 nucleotides) under Plantibacter flavus. Its description in RNAcentral is "tRNA-Lys". It matches the Rfam family "tRNA". Rfam says of the family: Transfer RNA (tRNA) molecules are approximately 80 nucleotides in length. Their secondary structure includes four short double-helical elements and three loops (D, anti-codon, and T loops). Further hydrogen bonds mediate the characteristic L-shaped molecular structure. tRNAs have two regions of fundamental functional importance: the anti-codon, which is responsible for specific mRNA codon recognition, and the 3' end, to which the tRNAs corresponding amino acid is attached (by aminoacyl-tRNA synthetases). tRNAs cope with the degeneracy of the genetic code in two manners: having more than one tRNA (with a specific anti-codon) for a particular amino acid; and 'wobble' base-pairing, i.e. permitting non-standard base-pairing at the 3rd anti-codon position. RNAcentral also lists the same sequence under 26 other names. Lineage: Bacteria; Bacillati; Actinomycetota; Actinomycetes; Micrococcales; Microbacteriaceae. The record is from RNAcentral.
GGGCCUGUAGCUCAGUUGGCAGAGCAUCGGACUUUUAAUCCGCGGGUCGUGGGUUCGAGCCCCACCGGGCCCACCA